UACGGAGGGGGCAAGCGUUGUUCGGAGUCACUGGGCGUAAAGGGCGCGUAGGCGGUGCAUCAAGUCAGGCGUGAAAGCCCCGGGCUUAACCUGGGAAUUGCGCUUGAUACUGAUGCGCUAGAGAGCGGGAGAGGAUGGCGGAAUUCCCAGUGUAGAGGUGAAAUUCGUAGAUAUUGGGAAGAACACCGGUGGCGAAGGCGGCUCACUGGCUCGUAACUGACGCUCAUGCACGACAGCGUGGGGAUCAAACAGG
This 253-nucleotide ribosomal RNA is filed under the name uncultured bacterium. Its description in RNAcentral is "partial 16S ribosomal RNA". It matches the Rfam family "Bacterial small subunit ribosomal RNA", at positions 524 to 776 of the family's 1533-position model. The record is from RNAcentral.